This 380-nucleotide unclassified non-coding RNA is filed under the name uncultured Dothideomycetes. RNAcentral describes it as "sequence contains ITS2". The stretch from base 1 to 154 matches the Rfam family "5.8S ribosomal RNA". The record is from RNAcentral. Lineage: Eukaryota; Fungi; Ascomycota; Dothideomycetes.
AACUAUCGACAACGGAUCUCUUGGUUCUCGCAUCGAUGAAGAACGCAGCGAAAUGCGAUAAGUAAUGUGAAUUGCAGAAUUCAGUGAAUCAUCGAAUCUUUGAACGCACAUUGCGCCCCUUGGUAUUCCGAGGGGCAUGCCUGUUCGAGCGUCAUUACACCACUCAAGCACUGCUUGGUAUUGGGCACUCGUCCGUCGAAAGGCGGGCGUGCCUCGAAGACCUCGGCGGGGUUUCACCAACUUCGGGCGUAGUAGAGUUAAAUCGAACGUCUUAUAAGCUUGGGGGAGCCUCAUUGCCGUUAAACCUUUUAUUUUUUCAGGUUGACCUCGGAUCAGGUAGGGAUACCCGCUGAACUUAAGCAUAUCAAUAAGCGGAGGCU